RNAcentral lists this ribosomal RNA (253 nucleotides) under uncultured bacterium. RNAcentral describes it as "partial 16S ribosomal RNA". It matches the Rfam family "Bacterial small subunit ribosomal RNA", at positions 524 to 776 of the family's 1533-position model. The record is from RNAcentral.
CACGUAGGGCGCAAGCGUUGUCCGGAAUUAUUGGGCGUAAAGAGCUCGUAGGCGGUCUGUUACGUCUGCUGUGAAAACCCGGGGCUUAACCCUGGGCUUGCAGUGGAUACGGGUAGACUAGAGGCAGGUAGGGGAGAAUGGAAUUCCCGGUGUAGCAGUGAAAUGCGUGGAUAUCGAUAGGAACACUCGUGGCGAAGGCGAGCUACUGGACAACAUCUGACGCUGAGGCUCGAAGGCUAGGGGAGCAAAAGGG